UUUGGGUAACCUCUCGGGGUUACAGCCUUGCUGAAUUAUUCACCCUUGUCUUUUGCGUACUUCUUGUUUCCUUGGUGGGUUCGCCCACCACUAGGACAAACAUAAACCUUUUGUAAUUGCAAUCAGCGUCAGUAACAAAUUAAUAAUUACAACUUUCAACAACGGAUCUCUUGGUUCUGGCAUCGAUGAAGAACGCAGCGAAAUGCGAUAAGUAGUGUGAAUUGCAGAAUUCAGUGAAUCAUCGAAUCUUUGAACGCACAUUGCGCCCUUUGGUAUUCCAAAGGGCAUGCCUGUUCGAGCGUCAUUUGUACCCUCAAGCUUUGCUUGGUGUUGGGCGUCUUGUCUCUAGCUUUGCUGGAGACUCGCCUUAAAGUAAUUGGCAGCCGGCCUACUGGUUUCGGAGCGCAGCACAAGUCGCACUCUCUAUCAGCAAAGGUCUAGCAUCCAUUAAGCCUUUUUUCAACUUUUGACCUCGGAUCAGGUAGGGAUACCCGCUGAACUUAAGCAUAUCAAUAAGCGGAGGAAA
Molecule: ribosomal RNA, 526 nt
Filed under: Alternaria sp. CrP5
Lineage: Eukaryota; Fungi; Ascomycota; Dothideomycetes; Pleosporales; Pleosporaceae
Description: eukaryotic LSU rRNA
Rfam family: 5.8S ribosomal RNA (bases 151-304)
Source: RNAcentral